UACGUAGGGGGCUAGCGUUGUCCGGAAUCAUUGGGCGUAAAGCGCGCGUAGGCGGCCCGGUAAGUCCGCUGUAAAAGUCCAGGGCUCAACCCUGGAAAGCCGGUGGAUACUGUCGGGCUCGAGUCCGGAAGAGGCGAGUGGAAUUCCUGGUGUAGCGGUGGAGUGCGCAGAUAUCAGGAGGAACACCAAUAGCGAAGGCAGCUCGCUGGGACGUCACUGACACUGAGGCGCGAAAGCGUGGGGAGCGAACAGG
RNAcentral lists this ribosomal RNA (253 nucleotides) under uncultured bacterium. RNAcentral's name for it is "partial 16S ribosomal RNA". It matches the Rfam family "Bacterial small subunit ribosomal RNA", at positions 524 to 776 of the family's 1533-position model. The record is from RNAcentral.